UACGUAGGUGGCAAGCGUUAUCCGGAUUUAUUGGGUGUAAAGGGCGUGUAGGCGGGAAUGCAAGUCAGAUGUGAAAACUCAGGGCUCAACCCUGAGCCUGCAUUUGAAACUGUGUUUCUUGAGUGCUGGAGAGGCAAUCGGAAUUCCGUGUGUAGCGGUGACAUGCGUAGAUAUACGGAGGAACACCAGUGGCGAAGGCGGAUUGCUGGACAGUAACUGACGCUGAGGCGCGAAAGCGUGGGGAGCAAACAGG
RNAcentral lists this ribosomal RNA (253 nucleotides) under uncultured bacterium. RNAcentral describes it as "partial 16S ribosomal RNA". It matches the Rfam family "Bacterial small subunit ribosomal RNA", at positions 524 to 776 of the family's 1533-position model. The record is from RNAcentral.